UCUCAGGAUAGGACGACAGGUGACGUGACUCUGGAACCCUGCCUGACCAAAAGUGUGAUCAGCUCUCAAAACUGACUUCCUCUCGUGACUGACAGGAAGAAAAGUGUUCCCAAAGACACAUGAGUGGCAGGAUGGGUGUCCGUGAACCAGAAACGCCAUCAUUUGGUGAUGAAUGACCAGAGAACUGAGGUUUAAAUCCUGCAUAGUCGUAGGUUGUUGAUUAUCUGGCUUCACCAUUUGGAAAAAUCAAGAUCACUCAUUAUGUCUCCGUACCCGCCGUGAUGUCACCCGUGAGUUGGAGCAGGCCUGUCAGCCAGGUUGUGCUCAACGUGAUCCCCAGGUGUUGGCCGUCUUUCCUGUGGGUGCCGUGUGAGGUGACAUCACUGCUGGACUCUGCUGUGAACCUGCCACCGUCUGCCUGUUAUGUGGCCUGUGUUGGCAACACAUGCGUAGGUUUCCCGUAAUAUGCUCAAUACCCAGACUCAUGAGUAGACUUGUAGUUCUCAAAACCACUUUUUUGUGUUCUUGGACUCGGAUAAUUGAGAUGCCGUUGCACACCAAGGUGACAGAAUCUUGA
Molecule: long non-coding RNA, 577 nt
Organism: Cololabis saira (Pacific saury)
Lineage: Eukaryota; Metazoa; Chordata; Actinopteri; Beloniformes; Belonidae
Exons: 3
Source: RefSeq, a predicted model, not a curated record